Molecule: ribosomal RNA, 367 nt
Filed under: Chaetodon trifascialis (chevron butterflyfish)
Lineage: Eukaryota; Metazoa; Chordata; Actinopteri; Chaetodontiformes; Chaetodontidae
Description: partial 12S ribosomal RNA
Rfam family: Bacterial small subunit ribosomal RNA
Source: RNAcentral
UAAACAUUGACAGUUAACUACACCCACUGCCCGCCUGGGAACUACGAGCAUCAGCUUAAAACCCAAAGGACUUGGCGGUGCUUUAGACCCACCUAGAGGAGCCUGUUCUAGAACCGAUAAUCCCCGUUAAACCUCACCCUUCCUUGCCAUUUCCGCCUAUAUACCACCGUCGUCAGCUUACCCUGUGAAGGCCCCAUAGUAAGCACAAUCGGCACAGCCCAGUACGUCAGGUCGAGGUGUAGCGAAUGGAAGGGGAAGAAAUGGGCUACAUUUACUAAUACAGUAAAUACGGAUGAUCACCCUGCAACGAGUAUCUGAAGGAGGAUUUAGCAGUAAGCAAAAAAUAGAGUGUUUUGCUGAAAUUGGC